GUUCCACGACGUUGUAAAAUCGACGUCAGUGACGUUAUACGAUCACUAUAGGGCGAUGAAUUUUAAGCGUCGCGAAUCGCCUGUGCCAAGCAGCCGCGGUAAUUCCAGCUCCAAUAGCGUAUACUAAAGUUGUUGCGGUUAAAAAGCUCGUAGUUGGAUCUUGGAAUGUGUUCAAGCGGGUCAGCUUCUGGCUGUGCGCUGCUUGACGUGUUCUUCUAUUUGGUUUUGGUGCGGUGCGCUUAACUGCGUGUCGCUCCCGGCCGAAACGUUUACCUUGAAAAAAUUAGAGUGUUCAAAGCAGACCUGUUUGAGUCUGAAUAUUCGUGCAUGGAAUAAUGAAAUAUGAAUUCGGUUCUAUUUUGUUGGUUUUCGGAACUCGAGUUAAUGAUCAAGAGGGACAGACGGGGGCAUUCGUACUCUGCCGUUAGAGGUGAAAUUCUUGGAUCGGCGGAAGACGCGCAACUGCGAAAGCAUUUGCCAAGAAUGUUUUCUUUAAUCAAGAACGAUAGUCGGAGGUUCGAAGACGAUCAGAUACCGUCCUAGUUUCGACUGUAAACUAUGCCAGCUAACGAUCAGACAGAGUUCUCUACGACUUGUCUGGCAGUUUCCGGGAAACCAAAGCGUUUGGGUUCCGGGGGAAGUAUGGUUGCAAAGCUGAAACUUAAAGGAAUUGACGGAAGGGCACCACCAGGAGUGGAGCCUGCGGCUUAAUUUGACUCAACACGGGGAAACUCACCCGGCCCGGACACAGUGAGGAUUGACAGAUUGAGAGUUCUUUCUUGAUUCUGUGGGUGGUGGUGCAUGGCCGUUCUUAGUUGGUGGAGCGAUUUGUCUGGUUAAUUCCGAUAACGAACGAGACUCUGGCAUGUUAAAUAGUCGCGGAAGUGCGUAUGCACUUGCCGAACUGACUUCUUAGAGGGACUAGUGAUUUUAAUUCACACGAGAUUGAGCAAUAACAGGUCUGUGAUGCCCA
This 973-nucleotide ribosomal RNA is filed under the name uncultured eukaryote. RNAcentral's name for it is "SSU rRNA". It matches the Rfam family "Eukaryotic small subunit ribosomal RNA", at positions 477 to 1473 of the family's 1831-position model. The record is from RNAcentral.